This is a non-coding RNA of Pelobates cultripes (western spadefoot toad), 293 nucleotides long. The record is from the annotation of a GenBank genome assembly. NCBI's taxonomy places the organism in Eukaryota, Metazoa, Chordata, Amphibia, Anura, Pelobatidae.
AAAUAUUGGGACAUAUAAAAAAAGACAACUCUGUUCCGCAGAGUAGCUAUUGACAUUAUAGUUGCGCAGGAACUUUGUUGACCCUAGAGAACCUCGGGCAAAUCGCACAUCCUUGUGCAUGCGGAUGUCAUCCAUAUCAACUUUCGAUGCCAGUUUCUGAGACUACCAUGGUGACCACGGGUAACGGGGAAUCAGGGUUCCAUUCCGUACAGGGACCCUGAGAAACGGCUACCACAUGCAAGGAAGGCAGCAGGCGCGCAAAUGACCCACUCCCGACGCGGGAAGGUAGUGAU